RNAcentral lists this ribosomal RNA (253 nucleotides) under uncultured bacterium. RNAcentral's name for it is "partial 16S ribosomal RNA". It matches the Rfam family "Bacterial small subunit ribosomal RNA", at positions 524 to 776 of the family's 1533-position model. The record is from RNAcentral.
UACGUAGGGUGCAAGCGUUGUCCGGAAUUAUUGGGCGUAAAGAGCUCGUAGGUGGUUUGUCGCGUUGUUCGUGAAAACCGGGGGCUUAACCCUCGGCGUGCGGGCGAUACGGGCAGACUGGAGUACUGCAGGGGAGACUGGAAUUCCUGGUGUAGCGGUGAAAUGCGCAGAUAUCAGGAAGAACACCAGUGGCUAAGGCGGUUCUCUAGUACGGUACUGACGCUGAGACGCGAAAGCGUGGGGAGCGAACAGG